UGGCUCAGAUUGAACGCUGGCGGCAUGCCUAACACAUGCAAGUCGAACGGCAGCACAGCAGUAGCAAUACUGUGGGUGGCGAGUGGCGGACGGGUGAGUAAUGCAUCGGGACCUACCUGAACGUGGGGGAUAACGUAGGGAAACUUACGCUAAUACCGCAUACGUCCUACGGGAGAAAGCGGGGGACCUUCGGGCCUCGCGCGGUCAGACGGACCGAUGUUCGAUUAGCUAGUUGGUAAGGUAACGGCUUACCAAGGCGACGAUCGAUAGCUGGUCUGAGAGGAUGAUCAGCCACACUGGAACUGAGACACGGUCCAGACUCCUACGGGAGGCAGCAGUGGGGAAUAUUGGACAAUGGGCGCAAGCCUGAUCCAGCAAUGCCGCGUGUGUGAAGAAGGCCUUCGGGUUGUAAAGCACUUUUAUCAGGAGCGAAAUACUGUCGGUUAAUAACCGGCGGGGCUGACGGUACCUGAGGAAUAAGCACC
This 485-nucleotide ribosomal RNA is filed under the name gamma proteobacterium C2PN24. RNAcentral's name for it is "bacterial SSU rRNA". It matches the Rfam family "Bacterial small subunit ribosomal RNA", at positions 20 to 494 of the family's 1533-position model. The record is from RNAcentral. Lineage: Bacteria; Pseudomonadati; Pseudomonadota; Gammaproteobacteria.